This 1448-nucleotide long non-coding RNA is filed under the name Rattus norvegicus (Norway rat). RNAcentral describes it as "long non-coding RNA NONRATT001809". Lineage: Eukaryota; Metazoa; Chordata; Mammalia; Rodentia; Muridae. The record is from RNAcentral.
UUAGAGGCAGACCCAUCAGGAGCAUCUGAGAGAGGCUGGCUGCAGACCCUAACCAGCCAAUCAAUAUAGAUGCCUGUCUGGAACAGACACCAUACCGCCCUGGGACUUUUCCACAAGGACAUUUCAAACCCUACCUUUAAAGCUCUUGUCUUCUGAAAGUUUAUGGGCCAAGAAAUGCUAUCAGCACAGCCUAUGUUCCUUGCCAUCACCAGUGUGGUAAUAGUACUCCCUCCCUAAUUCUCUCCGGAGACCUGCCUCAGGGCCCCUUCUGCAUUCUCCCCUAUCUCCAUUUGUCUGGCUUUGGGGCAAGAAUGCAUGCUAUGAGCAUCACGUAGUUUAUGUUAGUACUGUGGUCAACAACUUGCCCUUAUUCUGUGAGAUCUUUGCAGACAGGUGGUUGCCACCACCUGCUUGGGUGGCUCCAUACUUGGGGAGCAGGGACUGGCAGGUAGGCUCCAGAUGUCCAUAGGUCCUGAGGUCUUUCCUCCCCCUGCCCUGUCAGGCACCUCAGGAAUGUCUAAAAUCCUGCUGGGUCCAGACCCCCAUCACUCCUGUAGUGGCUGAUCUCAGCCUGGUCUGACCAGGUCUCCUUUCCCUCGGGCUCUGGUUUCUUCCAGAGGAAUCUCAGGGAAAGAGGUUCACCAUUAAACUGCUGGCUGGGAAGAGACCCUAACAUCGGAUUAAGCAAGACUGGCCUUACCAAGACAUGUGAUGGGUGCUCUGUAGAGGGACCCUUUCUUUCCCUCCCCGAACCAGCUCUUUGGGGUUGUUAAUCCGUCAUGGGGAGGGGUUCAGGAGUCUUCCUCCCUGACUCUACAUUUCCCCACCCUUCAACCUUCCAAGUCCACAGGACCAGAGAUUCUGAAAGGAAGGGACUUCAACUUCCUGUAACUCAAGCUUCCGGGGCCUGUGUGGACUGCAGAGGGUGGCUGUGCCAGCUGCCGUGCUAAGGAAGCACGGUACUCCUUUUCCAAGUGAGACACUCCAACAGGGCUUGUAGAAGCUGUGGGAGUGAGUCUAAAGGGCGAGGGCAUGUACACUGCAGACCCUGGGUCCUGGGACUGAGUCUUGAGAUUGAUAGCAGGGAGAGAACAUGAAGCUUGGUGCCCCUAUGGGGCAGAUCAGAAAACUCCCUGAACUGUAUUUUUUUAACCUGGUCUUCCCUCUCUGGCUUCCAUGAUGUUGGUGCCAGGUGAGGUGUCUGGGUCCCUGUUACAAGUCAGGAACCCUGUUGGGAGACCCGCUUUUGUACAAAGAUCUGAAUGCUGCAAUGAACAGACUUUUGUACAUUUUUAUAUCAGUUUUUAAUGUCAGUGGCGACUCAGUUCCUGGGGCUACAGCUGGCUCAGGAUUUUUGUAAGAAAUUUUGAGUGACUCACUUAGAUUUUGUUCCCACUUGUCCCUCUUCCUCUGUGUAAUCUAAGUGCAUUAAACAUAUCUGCAGGAGC